This is a regulatory RNA element of Listeria monocytogenes EGD-e, 229 nucleotides long. It matches the Rfam family "T-box leader". Rfam says of the family: Uncharged tRNA acts as the effector for transcription antitermination of genes in the T-box leader family. T-boxes are found upstream of many aminoacyl-tRNA synthetase genes and some amino acid biosynthetic genes usually in Gram-positive bacteria. The anticodon of a specific tRNA base pairs to a specifier sequence within the T-box motif, and the NCCA acceptor tail of the tRNA base pairs to a conserved bulge in the T-box antiterminator hairpin. The record is from Rfam. NCBI's taxonomy places the organism in Bacteria, Bacillati, Bacillota, Bacilli, Caryophanales, Listeriaceae.
CUAAAGACAAUGAAAGAGCCAAGUAGCAUAGUGAGUCUGUAUAGGGAGAAGUGGUCAUAGACUGAAAGCCACUUUACAAACGAAUUUGUGAACAUUUCACCUCUGGAGUCGCCGCCGGGAAGCACAAGUAGUGUGAAGGUGGUCCGGUUACUAAGCCGUUAUCGAAUUAUGAGUGGGAACAAUUUUUUGUUCUUAUUAGGGUGGUACCGCGAGAAGUCUCGUCCCUUUG